UAUGACCGAUCAAGCGUACCAACUUAAAAACAAUGAUAGUUUGUGUAAUGUCACCGAUAGAACACCUUUUGGCGAAGAUAUAUGUUAUCUGUGGUUAAAUUAUUUUCUCUAAUCUAUGUCAUGCUUACCGCUAAUCCGCUCUGUUCGCGAAAGAAUGGCAGAUCCGUUUUUGUUUUCUAUAAGCUCGUCAUUAAUUACGCGAUCUACAAUUAGAAUUAUUUAAAUAUUUGUUUUAUUUUAAUCGGCUUAAACAAACGACAGGCAAUUCGGCGCCGACGCCGGUCAUGUGCCGUCCAUAUUCGCCAUUUUGUCAUUUGUCCUUUAAGUAAGAAAAUGCAAACAAAACAUUAUUUGCCCUAAACACGCGUUACUCUCAAAUAAUAUUGCCGAAUGCCGACAAAGUGAUCUUGUUUUAUCAAACUGAACUCCGAACUGCAAUUGCAAUGUAAUUUUCCGAUAGCGAAAGUGAGGUUAUGAAAUUGACAUGACAUUUAGUGAAUGCAAUGCAAUGGACAUGUGUUUUGUUGUUUUUCUCAUCAAGAUAAUAGAAGAAUCUAGUGCUCAUACUCAUGAUCUAAUGAGCAAACAGCCCAUGCAAAGGAUGUCUUAUCGGGCUAUGCCUCAAUUGAUAAAGUGAACUAAUUGCCUACUUCAAAAGCAGUUUUGCAUGAAAGUCAACAUCUAAUUGGAAUUUACAAUGCCCGAUAUUUCUACACAUCUGCCACAAAUUUUAUGGAAAACAAUAUUUAUAGAAACUGAACAUACCUUGGUUAAACGUAUAUGAAAUGGGUAACCAUCCUCGAAGAACAUCAACCAGCUGUCGGCAAUGUGCAGGUGGACUGAGGAAUUUUCCGGUGUGUCCUUUAUGGACUGUACUCCGUCUUAGCACUAUCCUCAAGUUUUACCCGAGAGGCCAUGCUUCAGGUUGGACCGUCUUCCAUAUAUCUACUGACUUCAUAUAAAUGAAAGUCUCGCUGAUCUGCACUACCAGCUCGUUCAACGUUACUGAACAACAAAGUAAUCCGACAAUCAGACUGGACCCGGUCAUGUUAGAUACCAGUGGAAGGAGAUGAACAUACAAUUGACUCCGCAUCGAUGCAUGACUUCGCCCGGAACGCGGCAAGAACCAACAAUGGAAGAAAAACUACAGACGUGUUUAUUAACAAUAAAGUUAUUUUUGUUUUUAUGAAAUAGCGAUUGAAUAAAAAUAUUAGGUAUAUGA
This 1222-nucleotide long non-coding RNA is filed under the name Leguminivora glycinivorella. RNAcentral describes it as "uncharacterized LOC125230700". The record is from RNAcentral. Lineage: Eukaryota; Metazoa; Arthropoda; Insecta; Lepidoptera; Tortricidae.